CCAGCCCCCCCCAGCCCCAUUUCUGCCCCACUGCCCCCCAACCGCCCCUCGUUCCCCUCCCCCACUUCCCCGCACUCCUCACCGCCUCAAGCCCCGCCUCUUCCUCUCACGUGACCGCACCACGACCCUCCUCUUCCCGUCACGUGACAGCAACAAACUCUCCGCGCAUCCGCAUCCCCCCCCAUUCCACGCAUGCGCACUGAACACCACGCGGAACCCGCCCCUUUCCUCACGUGACCACAACAAACCGCUCUCUCCACGCAUGCGCACGGAUCACGCCUUCCCACCCGGCGCAUACGCGCUAGUUUACCGUCUCUCCCUUUUCCCGCAGAGCGCAUGCGCGCUACUCCUAACGCAUGCGUAUUCGCCACGGAUUACAUCCGGCGCAUGCGCGCUAACUCCCAUUCCGCUCAGCGCAUGCGCGCUUCUCACGCCCCGCCAGCUGACGCAUGCGCACUCUUCACCUCCUCGCGACGACGCAUGAGCACUUUCCGCUUCUCCCUUCCGGCGCAUGCGCACUGCCCUCCGCUCCCUCCCGGCGCACGCGCACUGAGCGCAGCCCGCAGCCGUGCGGGCGGAGAUGCGGCGAUGGCUGCGGCUGCGGGGAGCGGGGCGGAGGGCGGCGGCGGCGCUGCUGGGGCUGCUGGCGCUGGGCUGGGCCGCGGGGCGCUGGGGGGGGGCGGGUGAUGCGGGGGCUGCAAUGCACACAGGGGCUGCAAUGCAUGCAAAUGCUGCAGGGGCUGCAAUGCACGCAGGGGCUGCAAUGCACGCAGGGGCUGCAAUGCAUGCAAUGCACGCAGGUGCUGCAAUGCACGCAAGGGCUGCAGGUGCUUCAGUGCAUGCAGGGGUUGCAAAUGCUGUAAAUGCUGCAGGGUUUGCAAUGCACGCAGGCGCUGCAAUGCACACAGGCGCUGCAAUGCCUGCAAUGCACGCAGGGGCUGCAGGCGCGGGUUCAGCAGCGGUGGGGGAGGUGCAGGGGGUCGGUUUUGGGGAGGUGCAGGGGGUCCCAUUGCGGGAGGUGCAGGGGGUCGGNNNNNNNNNNNNNNNNNNNNNNNNNNNNNNNNNNNNNNNNNNNNNNNNCCCCUGCUCGGCUCCCCCCCCCCUCCUGCUGCUCCUGGUUCCCAGCAGCCCCGGCAACGCGGAGCGGCGCAGCGCCGUGCGCAGCACCUGGGGGGCGGCCGGAGCCCCACGAUGCAGGACCGUCUUCGGCUUCGGGG
This 1217-nucleotide long non-coding RNA is filed under the name Phasianus colchicus (ring-necked pheasant). RNAcentral describes it as "lncRNA (ENSPCLG00000016830.1)". The record is from RNAcentral. Lineage: Eukaryota; Metazoa; Chordata; Aves; Galliformes; Phasianidae.